Molecule: transfer RNA, 84 nt
Filed under: Bacteroidota bacterium
Lineage: Bacteria; Pseudomonadati; Bacteroidota
Also listed under: 2 other names
Description: tRNA-Leu
Rfam family: tRNA
About the family: Transfer RNA (tRNA) molecules are approximately 80 nucleotides in length. Their secondary structure includes four short double-helical elements and three loops (D, anti-codon, and T loops). Further hydrogen bonds mediate the characteristic L-shaped molecular structure. tRNAs have two regions of fundamental functional importance: the anti-codon, which is responsible for specific mRNA codon recognition, and the 3' end, to which the tRNAs corresponding amino acid is attached (by aminoacyl-tRNA synthetases). tRNAs cope with the degeneracy of the genetic code in two manners: having more than one tRNA (with a specific anti-codon) for a particular amino acid; and 'wobble' base-pairing, i.e. permitting non-standard base-pairing at the 3rd anti-codon position.
Source: RNAcentral
GCCCAGGUGGCGGAAUCGGUAGACGCGUUGGUCUCAAACACCAAUGGGGUUACACCCGUGCCGGUUCGACUCCGGCCCUGGGUA